GAUGAACGCUGGCUGUGUGCCUAAUACAUGCAUGUCGAACGAAGCACUUGUGCUUAGUGGCGAAUGGGUGAGUAACACGUACUUAAUCUACCUUUAGGUUUGGGACAACAUUUGGAAACGAAUGCUAAUACCGAAUAUUCCUUUCUCUCGCAUGAGGGAUUGGUGAAAGGCCCGUUUGGGUCGCCAAGAGAUGAGAGUGCGGUACAUUAGUUAGUUGGUGGGGUAAUGGCCUACCAAGACGAUGAUGUAUAGCGGGGUUGAGAAGCUGAACCGCCACACUGGGACUGAGAUACGGCCCAGACUCCUACGGGAGGCAGCAGUAGGGAAUAUUCCACAAUGAGCGAAAGCUUGAUGGAGCGACACAGCGUGCAGGAUGAAGGUCUUCGGAUUGUAAACUGCUGUUAUAAGGGAAGAAAUACCAAUGUAGGAAAUGACAUUGGCUUGACGGUACCUUAUCAGAAAGCACCGGCAAACUAUGUGCCAGCCGCC
This 489-nucleotide ribosomal RNA is filed under the name uncultured bacterium. Its description in RNAcentral is "bacterial SSU rRNA". It matches the Rfam family "Bacterial small subunit ribosomal RNA", at positions 28 to 516 of the family's 1533-position model. The record is from RNAcentral.